CCUACGGGUGGCUGCAGUGGGGGAUAUUGCACAAUGGGGGGAACCCUGAUGCAGCGACGCCGCGUGGGUGAAGGAGCGUUUCGGCGCGUAAAGCCCUAUCGGCAGGGAAGAAGAUGACGGUACCUGGCCAAGAAGCCCCGGCUAACUACGUGCCAGCAGCCGCGGUAAUACGUAGGGGGCAAGCGUUAUCCGGAUUUACUGGGUGUAAAGGGGGCGCAGACGGCAAUGCAAGCCAGGAGUGAAAGCCCGGGGCCCAACCCCGGGACUGCCCUUGAAACUGGAUGGCUGGAGUGCGGGAGGGGCAGGCGGAAUUCCUGGUGUAGCGGUGAAAUGCGUAGAUAUCAGGAGGAACACCGGCGGCGAAGGCGGCCUGCUGGACCGCGACUGACGUUGAGGCUCGAAAGCGUGGGGAGCGAACAGGAUUAGAUACCCGGGUAGUC
This 440-nucleotide ribosomal RNA is filed under the name uncultured bacterium. Its description in RNAcentral is "partial 16S ribosomal RNA". It matches the Rfam family "Bacterial small subunit ribosomal RNA", at positions 338 to 795 of the family's 1533-position model. The record is from RNAcentral.